UUAUGCACUCAUCUGGAUACGUAUCACAAUCGGUGAUGCAUCGAAAGCGCUGCCAAGACAUCCAACCCAUGGGUGGUGUCAAAGCCAAGCA
Drosophila arizonae is the source of this 91-nucleotide long non-coding RNA. NCBI's taxonomy places the organism in Eukaryota, Metazoa, Arthropoda, Insecta, Diptera, Drosophilidae. The record is from RefSeq and is a predicted model, not a curated record.